Molecule: long non-coding RNA, 2135 nt
Organism: Apodemus sylvaticus (European woodmouse)
Lineage: Eukaryota; Metazoa; Chordata; Mammalia; Rodentia; Muridae
Exons: 6
Source: RefSeq, a predicted model, not a curated record
UCUUUUCUGUGGGUACAGGCUGGAGAUUAAACCCAAGGCCUCAUACAUGAUCAGCAUUUGUUCUCCUGCUGCCUUCGUUUAAGUUUUUAUCUGUAACUCUUAUUUAUCUUUAGUAAGCAGGCAUGCCCUCCCCACAAGCCCCUUAUCUUUGUUACCACUAUUUGCACAGUUUAAUAGAUGCUGUUUAAAUAGAAAGGACUCCUCAUCCUUUCACAAUGAUGAACAUACGGUUCUGUGAAAAGCAUGAGUUGUUGGUAUAAGCCCUUGCCUGGUACAGCCAGCAUGUAGUGAACCAAAGAUUCCUCAGUGAAGUCCAGCAGAGGUGGCAGCCAACUACUGAACAAAAUCCAGCACAGAAAUACCUGAGCUAGAUGUGUCACUGAAGUCCUUUCCUGUAGAGAACCUGUCCCAGCUGCCAUACACAGGCACCCAACCCACAUCCGGCUGAGUCCUGUCUCCUCACCGAAACCUCCAGAGGCGCCCGCACAGUCAUGCCUAGAGCUGUCUUUCCUAGGUGAUUCUAAAAGCAAGCCAAAUUGUUUUUAUUUUACUGAACAAUGAAGAAUAGCCAUCACAGCCCAGGCUGUCCUGGAACUUUGCUCUGAAGAUCACGCUGGCCUUAAACUCACAGAUCCCCAUAUUCCUCUUUGUCCCUAGUGCUGGGAUUAAAGAAGACAGUCCAUUCGUCUUACAAUCUUCAGCCAGCUCUUGCUGCCAAUGAGCGAAAACCCUUCCUGAAACAGCAAUUAGGUGGGAGAAAAAGGAAAAACCAGCAGAGAACAGUAGAGGCUACACACCUCGGAGAAGUGUUCAGAGGACCCAGCACCGACUGCAGAUCGGAUAGGAAGGGCCCUGUGGCCUGUGGCUCUUCAGCUGCCUGCAUGUGGCUGGCGUUGCAGCCUGAGUUGGAAUAUGCUCAGCCUGAUCACCCACUGGGAGCAAGAACUCCGUGUGGACAGCCUUUUUACCCUAGAAGCUCAAGAACUCUGAAGACAAAAGAAAAUGCCCGUGGCCUUUCCAGUCUCCCCAGUUUGCUCUUCCUAAAUUUAUAGUGGUAAUUUUCAACUUCCAUCAAAAUUCACCAAUAGGCCUGGCGGUGCUGGCGCACGCCUGUAAUCCCAGCACUCUGGGAGGCAGAGGCAGGCAGAUUUCUGAGUUCAAGGCCAGCCUGGUCUACAGAGUGAGUUCCAGGACAGCCAGGGCUAUACAGAGAAACCCUGUCUCCAAAAAACCAAAAAAAAAUAAAAAAACAAAAAAAUUCACCAAUAGUUUCUUUUUAAAAACAGAACAAGAAGUCAGACAGAGCCUUUAUGGUUUCUUAAGAAAACUUUCUCAUAGUGGGUAUGGCAGUACACACCUGAAAUACUUAAGAAAACUGACGCAGGAGGAUUGCCACAUUUGAGUCUGCUCAAGUUUUACAAUGAAACUUGGUCUCAAGAUAAAAACAGGGCCGGGCAGUGGUGGCACAUGCCUUUAAUCCCAACAUUUGGGAAGGCAGGUGGAUUUCUGAGUUCGAGGCCAGCCUGGUCUAGUUCCAGGACACCUACACAGAGAAACCCUGUCUCAAAAAACCAACCAAACAAAUAAAUAAAAAACAGGACAAAACCUCCCAGAUUAGUAAGAAGAAAUGUGUCAUUAUGCCAUCCCCAAAUAAGCUGUUUCAGGUGGCAGGCUCUGGGGAGGCACUGAGUACACAUCAGUGCAGUGCUUAUGGACCACAAUUUGGUAAUAUCAGUAAUGCAGAUGUGUUUAUCCUUUGACCGACAGGCAGAGUGCUAGGGAUGCAUUUGCAGAUCGGUCUGCACCUGUUUUGACACAAUGCACGGACAUUACCAUGCUAAAUCUUACUGCAUUUAUUUGUUUAUUUAGCAAGAGGGAGGAGGCAGAGGGGUGCCAUCAUGCAAGUGUGGAGGUCAGAGGCAACUUGCAAUAUUUUCUCUCCUUCCACCUUCCAGAGGUUAAAUCUAGGUUAGGCUUGUGCAGCAAAUCCUACCUGCCGAGCUACCUCUCAGCUCCAGAACAAGCUAUGUUUUUGCUAGUUAAUGUGAAACGUAGGUUCCCGCCCCCCCCAAAAAAAGUGGUGUUUAAGAUAUUUUAUAUCACUUCCACAUUUUAAAAUAAAUAUUUGGAAUUCA